This 508-nucleotide long non-coding RNA is filed under the name Gallus gallus (chicken). RNAcentral's name for it is "long non-coding RNA NONGGAT004426". Lineage: Eukaryota; Metazoa; Chordata; Aves; Galliformes; Phasianidae. The record is from RNAcentral.
GCAUCAUCUAGUUACAGCUAAAUGUUUACCAAGAUGAGAAGUCACAGUGUUCAAGAGUGACUGAGAGGCAGGUUGCUAGUGAACAGACCAGAUAAGCAGAGUGAGAAGGCAGCAGCUGCAGCUCAGCAUCCCCACUGUUACAAGAGGAAUGCCGCCUAUAUGGUUUCUAUAUGCUGCCUUUAAAUACAAGACUCUCAGAAAAAUCCAGGAAACAGAAGAGUGGGAAGGUGCUGAGAGGGAAGUGGGAAGCUUAGAUCUGCUUACAGCUCUGCCCCGACCCUCUGACCUUCUGCAAGUCACUGCCACGCUCUGCCCUCCUAUACAUACCUUUGUCCUUAGUGCUGCUCUGACAGCACAAAGAGUAACCUGAGAGAUGUCCCAAGCAAAAGGAGAACCUUGUAAUCUAUGGGUUUAUCUUCAUUCCUCCUUAUCUACUUAAGCUUAUCUACUAUCUACUCAGUGCUACAGCUAGCUGUUUCCAGGGUUGACUGGAGAUCCCUUUAUUCUG